RNAcentral lists this long non-coding RNA (1403 nucleotides) under Anas platyrhynchos platyrhynchos (common mallard). Its description in RNAcentral is "lncRNA (ENSAPLG00000019167.1)". Lineage: Eukaryota; Metazoa; Chordata; Aves; Anseriformes; Anatidae. The record is from RNAcentral.
GCUGUGUGACCUCAGAUCUGACUGCUCUGGAAAGAAACAGCUGUGAGUAGCAUUUUGGAAUUCCUUUCUGCUGUGGCAUGAGAGUUGCAUUUUACCUCAGUCUUUUCACCUUAGCUCUUGCCUGACACAAGCUGCAGGCUUGCUUGUGCGUGCUCUAGCACCUUGCCUUGCCUGCUUCACUUCAGACUGGCCUUAUAGUCUGAUUGGUCAGACAAUCAGGCUGUUGGCUGGCCAUGGUCACUGUCACAAAAUCUGCACUGCCCUUCUUAUUCAGGUUUUUAUGACACACCCUGUGGAUCUACAUUUCACAGAAUCAGAGAAUUUCUUUCAUCUUCUUUUCAAGAGAAAAGCAUGUGGACCCUCAACCUUUUAAUAAGUGUUGUGUCAUCCAGAGAAAACUAGAAACAGCUGUGUCCAAAGGAAAAGACAAUAUGAAGUGACAACUUAUGCUGGCCUGCAGGAGUUUGAUCACAUUAAUUCCCUAAUGGAGAAGCUAAUGUAUGUCACCACUCCACCAUGUGUAAUCAUCUCAGACUGGAGAGAAUAGUAUUUCCUCCAGCUGAAUAAGUUUUGAUCAAUUCUCAAAAUGUUACUGCAACAUUCAUUUUUAUCUGUGACUGGUAAAGAACUUUAAUUUAAAUAUUACCACUUGUUGUUUUCACUUCACAGUUUUAAAGGAAUUCAGUGAAGUGAAAGUGUAAAUGAUAUAAAUGAUAAAUAGAUAAUAUUAAUUCAAAGAGUAUCAGUAUUUGUCAUGCUUCAAGAACCUGCCACAUACCUAUGCCUAAGCAGCUGCUCAGCUCUUACCUGAGGCUUUGGGAUUAAAGUAGCCAGUGGUCAACCUUACUCAGCAAAUUUUUUCUUUCCAACAUAGCUAGUGGGUUACUGUGAUUAAUGCAAUGAAAGACUUGCACCUUCUGGUUCCAACUAAACAUGCAGCAACUUGAAGUUCAUGUACACACUUAUAUAAGUGUGUACAAACAAAAUGGCUGAAAGAAUAACAGAUAUUUUCUGCUUGCAGGACAUGGUUAUACUAUAAGAACUAAAAUGCUGAACAAAUUAUAUGAAAUUAAAUUUUAUUAAUUGUUUUCAUUAUUACUAGUCAGUGUGUACCUGUAUAGAUUUGUGAAUGUAUAAAGCCAGAAUGCCAUUUCUGUUACCUGCACAGUUCCAGUUAGACAACUGAAGAAAAGUACUAUAUCAUCAGUUUUCAUCUGAAUUUAUGGUGCUCAAGCAACUGAACAUUUAUAACACUUAAAAGGCAAAGAUCAUUAAAUGUAGUUAUCCAGUGUCUUUGCAUGUACCUACGCAAAAAGCUCUUUAUGCUUCAGGCACUCACAAAACCACUGCCCGCAUUCACCCCUGUGAAUAAAAGCAUUAUAUAUUGAUGGAAGAUCUUUGCA